RNAcentral lists this ribosomal RNA (466 nucleotides) under uncultured bacterium. Its description in RNAcentral is "partial 16S ribosomal RNA". It matches the Rfam family "Bacterial small subunit ribosomal RNA", at positions 28 to 507 of the family's 1533-position model. The record is from RNAcentral.
GAUGAACGCUGGCGGCGUGCUUAGCACAUGCAAGUCGAACGAUGAAGCCCAGCUUGCUGGGUGGAUUAGUGGCGAACGGGUGAGUAACACGUGAGUAACCUGCCCUUAACUCUGGGAUAAGCCUGGGAAACUGGGUCUAAUACCGGAUAGGAGCGUCCACCGCAUGGUGGGUGUUGGAAAGAUUUAUCGGUUUUGGAUGGACUCGCGGCCUAUCAGCUUGUUGGUGAGGUAAUGGCUCACCAAGGCGACGACGGGUAGCCGGCCUGAGAGGGUGACCGGCCACACUGGGACUGAGACACGGCCCAGACUCCUACGGGAGGCAGCAGUGGGGAAUAUUGCACAAUGGGCGCAAGCCUGAUGCAGCGACGCCGCGUGAGGGAUGACGGCCUUCGGGUUGUAAACCUCUUUCAGUAGGGAAGAAGCGAAAGUGACGGUACCUGCAGAAGAAGCACCGGCUAACUACGUG